AACGAACGCUGGCGGCAUGCCUAAUACAUGCAAGUCGAACGAGAUCUUCGGAUCUAGUGGCGCACGGGUGCGUAACGCGUGGGAAUCUGCCCUUGGGUUCGGAAUAACGUCGGGAAACGGACGCUAAUACCGGAUGAUGACGAAAGUCCAAAGAUUUAUCGCCCAGGGAUGAGCCCGCGUAGGAUUAGCUAGUUGGUGGGGUAAAGGCUCACCAAGGCUACGAUCCUUAGCUGGCCUGAGAGGAUGAUCAGCCACACUGGGACUGAGACACGGCCCAGACUCCUACGGGAGGCAGCAGUAGGGAAUAUUGGACAAUGGGGGCAAGCCUGAUCCAGCAAUGCCGCGUGAGUGAUGAAGGCCUUAGGGUUGUAAAGCUCUUUUACCCGAGAUGAUAAUGACAGUAUCGGGAGAAUAAGCUCCGGCUAACUCCGUGCCAGCAGCCGCGGUAAUACGGAGGGAGCUAGCGUUGUUCGGAAUUACUGGGCGUAAAGCGCACGUAGGCGGCGAUUUAAGUCAGAGGUGAAAGCCCGGGGCUCAACCCCGGAACUGCCUUUGAGACUGGAUUGCUAGAAUCUUGGAGAGGCGGGUGGAAUUCCGAGUGUAGAGGUGAAAUUCGUAGAUAUUCGGAAGAACACCAGUGGCGAAGGCGGCCCGCUGGACAAGUAUUGACGCUGAGGUGCGAAAGCGUGGGGAGCAAACAGG
RNAcentral lists this ribosomal RNA (702 nucleotides) under uncultured Alphaproteobacteria bacterium. Its description in RNAcentral is "bacterial SSU rRNA". It matches the Rfam family "Bacterial small subunit ribosomal RNA", at positions 28 to 776 of the family's 1533-position model. Lineage: Bacteria; Pseudomonadati; Pseudomonadota; Alphaproteobacteria. The record is from RNAcentral.